AUUACCGCGGCUGCUGGCACGUAGUUAGCCGGUGCUUAUUCCUCGAGUACCGUCGGGUGUCUUCCUCGAGAAAAGCGGUUUACGACCCGAAGGCCUUCAUCCCGCACGCGGCGUGGCUGUGUCAGGGUUUCCCCCAUUGCACAAAAUUCCUAACUGCUGCCUCCCGUAGG
Molecule: ribosomal RNA, 170 nt
Filed under: uncultured bacterium
Lineage: Bacteria
Description: partial 16S ribosomal RNA
Source: RNAcentral